Molecule: transfer RNA, 69 nt
Filed under: Marmota monax (woodchuck)
Lineage: Eukaryota; Metazoa; Chordata; Mammalia; Rodentia; Sciuridae
Description: tRNA.Thr
Source: RNAcentral
GGAGUUGUAACUCAGUGGUAGAGCGCUUACCUAGUAUGUAUGAGGCAAUGGGUUUGAUUCUCAGCACCU